GAUGAACGCUAGCUACAGGCUUAACACAUGCAAGUCGAGGGGAAACGCCAUCGUAAGCUUGCUUUUGAUGGGCGUCGACCGGCGCACGGGUGAGUAACGCGUAUCCAACCUGCCCAUCACUUGGGAAUAACCUUGCGAAAGUAGGACUAAUACCCAAUGAUAUCCCACGAAGGCAUCGGAAUGGGAUUAAAGAUUUGUCGGUGAUGGAUGGGGAUGCGUCUGAUUAGCUUGUUGGCGGGGUAACGGCCGACCAAGGCCACGAUCAGUAGGGGUUCUGAGAGGGAGGUCCCGCACAUUGGAACUGAGACACGGGCAAAACGCCUACGGGAGGCAGCAGUGAGGAAGAAUGGGCAAUGGGCGAGAGCCUGAACCAGCCAAGUAGCGUGCAGGAAGACGGCCGUAUGGGUUGUAAACUGCUUUUAUAAGGGGAUAAAGUGGGUCACGUGUGACUUUUUGAAUGUACCUGAUGAAUAAGGACCGGCUAAUUCCGUG
Molecule: ribosomal RNA, 492 nt
Filed under: uncultured bacterium
Lineage: Bacteria
Description: partial 16S ribosomal RNA
Rfam family: Bacterial small subunit ribosomal RNA
Source: RNAcentral